RNAcentral lists this long non-coding RNA (2253 nucleotides) under Homo sapiens (human). RNAcentral describes it as "HSALNT0357387". The record is from RNAcentral. Lineage: Eukaryota; Metazoa; Chordata; Mammalia; Primates; Hominidae.
GCUCACACCUGUAAUUCCAGCACUUUGAGAGGCUGAGGCAGGUGGAUCACGAGGUCAGGAGAUGGAGACCAUCCUGGCUAACAGGUGAAACCUCCUCUCUACUGAAAAAUACAAAAAAUUAGCUGGGUGUGGUGUCGGGCACCUGUAGUCCCAGCUCACCCAGCUACUCCGCAGGCUGAGGCAGGAGAAUAGCGUGAACCCGGGAGGCGGAGCUUGCAGUGAGCCGAGAUAGCGCCACUGCACUCCAGCUUGGGCGACAGAGCCAGACUCCGUCUCAAAAAAAAAAAAAAAAAAAAAAAAAAAAAAAAAAAAAAAAAAAAAUCAAUCGGGAGAAGGGAAGCCACCUGCUGCAGCCUGGAGGCUGGAGCCUGCGGCACUGCGACUCGCCUCGCCGCGCUACAGUUGGUGGUGGCGACAGAGACUGCAGUGUCGCGGAAGCGGUAGGAGGGCCACCCACAGCGGGAGCUGCUCCUGUCCGGCUAGACGACGAGAAAGGGGAGCCAUCUGCGGCACGUUGGAAGCUGGGGCCUGUGACAUCGCACCUCGCCUGGCUGCGGUUGGUGGCGGAGAAGGAGACUGCUGCGCAGCUGGAGUGGUGGUACAGAGCUCUACGAAAGAUCCUUAGAGGAGUCUCUUGUCCAAUGGUGUAAAGCUCUGUGACAAACAUGGGAGACUCACAGACUCAUGAGGAUGUUAUACCAACAGAAACACUGCCAGCUUGGAAAGAAAAGACAGACGGAAUACAAAAUGAAAAAGGGCUGUUAGACAGCCCCCUCCACCAAAAUUCUACAGGCAAGAAAUGUGAUGAUAAAGCUACUCAGCUGUAAACAUGUGAUACACUUCAAGAAAAAGGAAGGAAGACUCCAAGGCCGGAGCCACUAGCUCAGAGGGGGGGUCUGAGCCUUGAGUCACAGAUAAUUAUUCUCAAGCCUUGAAACAAAAUGGAAUGUGCCUGGCUUGAUUUUGAAAUUGAUUGGGACUGGCAACUCCUUUUUCUUCCUCUUCUCUUUUUGAAUGGAAAUAUCUAUCACUGUUAUCCUACGCCUGUCUCACCUUUGUAUUUUGGGAGUAGAUAACUUGUUUCUCGAAUUUCCCAGGUUCACUGUUAUCCCAUGCCGAUCUCACCUUUGUAUUUUGGGAGUAGAUAACUUGUUUCUUGAAUUUCCCAGGUUCACAGAUGAAGAAGAAUUGUGCCUGAGGAUGGAUAACUUCCAGAGCCUUGGAUGAUGCAAUUUGGCACUUUUGAGCUAAUCUAAAAGUUAGAUGAGAUUUUGGACUUUGAGUUGUUACUUUAAUGGGUUGAUAAGCCUGGGAAUCUUGGGGUGGAAUGUACUUUGCAUAUGGAAUAGAUGUGUAUCUUUGGGUGCCAGAAGGCAGUCUGUGGUAGGCAGAUUAAUGCCUCCCACAAAAAUGUCUACCUCUAAUCCUAGACCCAUGAAUAUGUUAUGCUAAUGGCAAAGGUUGCAAAUAGAAUUAAGGUGUUAAUUAGUUGACUCUAAGAUGGGGAGGUCAUCUUGGAUUCUGUAGUGUAAUCACAAACAUCCAACAUCUUCACAAGGGUUCUUAUAAGUGAAAGGUGAAGGCAGUAGAGAGAAAGUAAGAGAUGGAAGAAUGAGCAGGACUCAACCCGAUGUGGCUGGCUUGGAGAUGGAGGAAGGGGCCACUAGCCAAGGAGUGUGAGCAGCCUCUAAAGCUGGAAAUGACAAAGACAUGGAUUCCCUGCUAGAGUUCCAAAGGGAAUACAGCCCUGGAGACCUUGAGUUUUGCCCAGUGAGACCAGUUUGAGACCUCUGACCUCCACAACUCUAAGAUAAUAAAUGUGUAGUUACUUAACUUACUAAGUUUGUGGUAAUUUUGUUAUAGCAACAACAGAAGGCAAAUACACCUGGUGCUGUAGGAGGGACUCCUGUAGUUCCAGGACAGAAAUAAGGCUUCCUUGGCUGCCUUCUGUCACUGUGUUCGGGAUGGAAACACUGGACCUGGGUCACUGUCCUCCAUCUGGUCAUGGUCCUCCAGCUGCAACCGUGUGGACUAGAGAUGCACUGACAGAAUGGCACAGUGAUGAGACAGGUAGGGCUCCGGAAACUUUGACCUCUGGCUCUUCUGCCAAUCCAGACUUUAACAAGAGGGAGAACCAAACUUCUUUAUUUUUUAAGUUACUGUUAUUUUGAUCUUUGCUAAAGCAGCCAAACCAAUAUCUUACCUUAUACAGCAGCAACCUUGUCCACUACACACCAGUGGAGGAGUUAGGUG